ACCAGCCCCCAGACUCUGGCUAAGUUCAAAGCCUACUUCAGGAUCUGCAGCCCAAACUUUGCCGGCUCAGGCCUGGUGACUAUUUUAAACUUAGGAUAAAGGAGAUUUUAAAAAGCAGCAAUGAAAACAUUUUCUAAACAUGUUUGCAAUCCAAUCAGCCCCUUGGUAAUUUGAUUUGUAGGAAAUGGCAAGUGAGGCACUGCAAGCAGAGGACUGAAGGUACUGAGGUCACUGGGAGUUUUGCCAAGGGCUUCAGUGGGAGCAGGAUUAAGCCCAGAUACCAAGAGUUCGGGAGAGUCUUGGGAACGCAACAAAGCCUUAGGAAAACAGACAUCUGGAACAGGGAAGUUCCUCUGCCCAAGUCAGGGAUCCCAGUUUCCUUGUGGAAGGCAGGAGUCUCUGGCUCCUAAAACUUCAGUCUGAGACGACCACCUUGGAUUUGAGGAGGGAACCACCCCCCGUCCCUGGACCCACUAAAAAACCAGAGUUGGAGGUGAUGUGUAAAGCUGUAUCAGUGGGGGAAUGAAAGACCCUCCUAGACCAGUGAAUUUGUCAGUUCUCAACAGUAAAGGAAGGUGAGGAGUGUGCUGAAUAUGAGCCCACGAGAAAGGGAAGGAGGAAGAACUAGAAGCCCUGGAAACAACCACAAUGAUAACCUGAACUUUCAAAUGUCUUUCCCUGGAAAGAAGAAUCGAGAGCUAAACAACAUCCCGGCAACGCCUGCAUCCUCUCAAAAAUGUCAAAGCCAGGGGGAUUUUUUUUUUUGGCUACUCAAAUCCUGUGUUUAGCAGCAAGUUAAUGUCACAAGGCUUUGGCUAAUACCAGCGCUGCCCCCCUCUAAUUUCCAUAUCUGAGUGGCAGAUCCCUGGAAUCUGCCUUCUGCCUUUAGCCUGACCUCAGCCUACAAACACAGACUAUAUUUAACAUGUCGAUUGUAAUGAAAUGUGCGUUUGAGUCGUGCCCCCACCCCAUCCACCUCCUCGCUGUGUUUUAAAGGCAGGUUGCUGUCAGAUGGUAACAGGUUUGUUCAGAGACACCCGCGCGCGCGCACACAGACAUAUGACAGUUUUAUUCUGAAAUCCUGAUUGAAGACAGAAACACUCCCUGGGCUAAAGUCAGCCAUCGCAGCUCCUAUUGGCUUCAAUGGGAGAUGAUUCCCCCUUUACACUGGAGCUGAAUUUGGCCCUUUGUUUGGACAGAUACUUGUCUUCUGUUAAUAACACUUCCUUUUGUCACCCUUUCCUCUAUAGGGCUUGCAACAAUCAGAUGUCCCUGAAGGAAUGUUGGCACUUGCAGCUAUAGGGUGUUUUGCUCUUCAGAGCUACACCGUAAACUCUAAACCAGCUGCAUCAGAACCGAUCUGGGCUCCCCUUCCCUCCAAUGAAAACCCCCAUAUGAUUACACCACAAACCUGUGUCAGGUCUUUCAACAAACAGGCUCUUUGAUUUCUCUACCAUCCCUUUAGUUGUGGUGAUCCAAGUAUUCUAAACUUGGAAACAUCUACCCAGGGCCAGGCUUAGGGUGGACAUGAAUUCAAGCCACAGACCUGAUACUCUGAAAACAACAAGCUUUUAAAACAUCCGAUUUAAAAAAUAAUAAUAAUUACAGCCUAAACAUGCUUUCCAAAACUUGUUGGCAUCCUAAAGCUUCUAGGAUAAUCAGAAGCUCAGGAUGGCCUUUCAUCCACUCUAGAUACUGCUAUGAAGAAUAGAUUUGCAGUUUAUAAUCUUUGUGGUGCAGAUUUUAAAACUGCAGCAUUAUAGCCUGGUAGGAGGUUCAGUCCCAUAGUCUAGGGACUGCUGAUCUUCCCCUUUGGAGACCUGUUUCCACAUCUGCUCUAGGCCUUAACUGCAAUGAGUUUUUGUGAUCUCAGCCUAGUCUGUCCUGUACAUCUGUCCACAUAAAAAAUCCCAGCCAUGCCAUUUGUCAUGAUUGCUUGUCACCAGGCCUGGUAGCAAAACACAGAGGGUGCUGCAUAUCAGGACUGAAGGGACUGGCACAGCUAUAAAGAGGAUGGGGGGCUAGGAGAGCAGAGGAUGCUGCAGGUUAGAACCAAGGGGCAUUGGAUUAUUUAUGUGACACAGCUUUUCCUUGCUACCCUCAGUCAGGGGAGCCUGGGACUAGAAUAAGGGUUUGGUGGGCUGGGGCUGAGGUGGAUGGGCAGAGCAGGGGGACAAGGGGAGCCCUGGGUACCUCCCACACAACCACCACUUGGCUGUCCCCAGCACUAUCAUUCCUUCAUUUCCAAUUCCCUAAAUCAAAUUCCCACUAAUCCGGAAAGGGGAAGUGGGGUGAGAAUCCAACUUCUCCAUUUACCUAUUGUAAGAAAAUGACUGUGUAUAUCAUUCAUGUACACUGAAAUAUCAUUGUCUAGGAAAGCCCCACACAUGAGCAAUCAGAAGGCUAUAAUUGCAGACAUAAGUUUGACAAUAAACAGUUUUACUGGUAUCUAUUGAAUGUACUCAGACAGAAUUCCCAUUAUACGCAUGGCGCUGUACAGUAAAUGUCUAUAACCGUCUAUGUAUAAAGAGAGUCAUUUUUAGCACUAUAUAAAUAUUGCCUAGCUAGAUAACAUGAUUUCAAAGCUAUAAUGUGGCUGCUAUUUUCUAUAAGUUUUAAGAUUAUGAGGGGUCUUCCACACACCCUCCUCCUUCCUCUUGUUAUACUACUAUAUUCUACAGUAGUGGACCAAAAAACUACAGCUCACAGAAAUGUUACUGCAGCAUCUU
Chelonia mydas (Green sea turtle) is the source of this 2729-nucleotide long non-coding RNA. RefSeq lists it as uncharacterized. The transcript is spliced from 4 exons. The record is from RefSeq and is a predicted model, not a curated record. Lineage: Eukaryota; Metazoa; Chordata; Testudines; Cheloniidae.